This 246-nucleotide ribosomal RNA is filed under the name uncultured bacterium. RNAcentral's name for it is "partial 16S ribosomal RNA". It matches the Rfam family "Bacterial small subunit ribosomal RNA", at positions 527 to 772 of the family's 1533-position model. The record is from RNAcentral.
GUAGGGGGCAAGCGUUAUCCGGAUUUACUGGGUGUAAAGGGAGCGUAGACGGCGUGCCAAGUCUGAUGUGAAAGGCCGGGGCUCAACCCCGGGACUGCAUUGGAAACUGGCAUGCUGGAGUGCCGGAGGGGCAAGCGGAAUUCCUAGUGUAGCGGUGAAAUGCGUAGAUAUUAGGAGGAACACCGGUGGCGAAGGCGGCUUGCUGGACGGUAACUGACGUUGAGGCUCGAAAGCGUGGGGAGCAAA